AUGGCGACCGCCGGCAACGCUCCCCGCUCCCGCAAGCGCGUCGAGGCCACCGUCCUCAAGCGCGCGCGCGACGGAAGCGCCUUCACCCGCUACGAGGCGUGCAACAAGGACAUAGCCAUCGUCCUUAUCGACCUCCACAGCUGCAGCCUCGACUCCAAGAUACGCCUCAGCCUCGAGUCGCAGGUGGUGGAAAAGGCCGUGCUCGAGUUUGUUUUUAUGCUUUUGUUUCCCACAAUGCUUCAAGCUUGUUUAUUAACUCGAUUUUUUGUUAUUCUGUUUAACAGGAGACUGCAGCAGAAGCAGAGAAGACGGAUGCUACACCAAUCCAAGAGUAGAUAG
This 339-nucleotide ribosomal RNA is filed under the name Triticum aestivum (bread wheat). RNAcentral describes it as "partial small subunit ribosomal RNA". Lineage: Eukaryota; Viridiplantae; Streptophyta; Magnoliopsida; Poales; Poaceae. The record is from RNAcentral.